GUGAUGAUGAACCAAGAGUACUCGCUACCUGAGACUUCUGUGAACGAGAGUCUUACCGCCUGAC
RNAcentral lists this small nucleolar RNA (64 nucleotides) under Euglena gracilis. RNAcentral describes it as "Eg-m148 box C/D methylation-guide". Lineage: Eukaryota; Euglenozoa; Euglenophyceae; Euglenales; Euglenaceae. The record is from RNAcentral.